AUUGAACGCUGGCGGCAUGCCUUACACAUGCAAGUCGAACGGCAGCACGGGAGCAAUCCUGGUGGCGAGUGGCGAACGGGUGAGUAAUAUAUCGGAACGUGCCCAGUCGUGGGGGAUAACGUAGCGAAAGCUACGCUAAUACCGCAUACGAUCUAUGGAUGAAAGCGGGGGAUCGCAAGACCUCGCGCGAUUGGAGCGGCCGAUAUCAGAUUAGGUAGUUGGUGAGGUAAAGGCUCACCAAGCCGACGAUCUGUAGCUGGUCUGAGAGGACGACCAGCCACACUGGGACUGAGACACGGCCCAGACUCCUACGGGAGGCAGCAGUGGGGAAUUUUUGGACAAUGGGCGCAAGCCUGAUCCAGCAAUGCCGCGUGCAGGAUGAAGGCCUCGGUGUAGUAGACUUUAAGUUAGGGUAGGAAGGGUAGGUAACCGUAAU
Molecule: ribosomal RNA, 436 nt
Filed under: uncultured bacterium
Lineage: Bacteria
Description: bacterial SSU rRNA
Rfam family: Bacterial small subunit ribosomal RNA
Source: RNAcentral